CAGCCGCCGCGGGAAUACGUAGGUGGCAAGCGUUGUCCGGAAUUACUGGGCGUAAAGCGUGCGCAGGCGGUUUUGUAAGACAGGCGUGAAAUCCCCGGGCUCAACCUGGGAAUGGCGCUUGUGACUGCAAAGCUAGAGUGCGGCAGAGGGGGAUGGAAUUCCGCGUGUAGCAGUGAAAUGCGUAGAUAUGCGGAGGAACACCGAUGGCGAAGGCAAUCCCCUGGGCCUGCACUGACGCUCAUGCACGAAAGCGUGGGGAGCAAACAGGAUUAGAUACCCGUGUAGUCCCUGUCUCUUAUAC
RNAcentral lists this ribosomal RNA (301 nucleotides) under uncultured bacterium. RNAcentral describes it as "partial 16S ribosomal RNA". It matches the Rfam family "Bacterial small subunit ribosomal RNA", at positions 509 to 807 of the family's 1533-position model. The record is from RNAcentral.